This 434-nucleotide ribosomal RNA is filed under the name uncultured bacterium. RNAcentral describes it as "partial 16S ribosomal RNA". It matches the Rfam family "Bacterial small subunit ribosomal RNA", at positions 29 to 507 of the family's 1533-position model. The record is from RNAcentral.
AGCGAACGCUGGCGGCAGGCCUAACACAUGCAAGUCGAACGAACCUUUCGGGGUUAGUGGCGGACGGGUGGGUACCACGGGGGAACGUGCCUUUAGGUUCGGAAUCACUCAGGGGAACUUGUGCUAAUACAGAAUGUGCUCUUAGCGGGAAAGAUUAAUCGCCUUUAGAGCGGCCCGCGUCUGAUUAGCUAGUUGGUUGAGGUAAUGGCUCACCAAGGCGACGGUCAGUAGCUGGUGUGAGAGGAUGAUCAGCCACAUUGGGACUGAGACACGGCCCGAACUCCUACGAGUGGCAGCAAUGGUGAAUCUUGCGCAAUGGGCGAAAGACGGACGCAGCCAGGCCGCGUGAAUGAUUAAGGUCUUAGGAUUGUAAAAUUCUUUCACCGGUGACGAUAAUGACGGUACCCUGAGAAGAAGCCCCGGCUAACUUCGUG